UUUGGCAGACGCUUUUGUCCAAAGCGACUUACAAUAGUCAAGUACAAUGUAAAAUAAGUUUAAAGGUAAAACAUCUUUGGAUAGGGAUAAAAGGAGGUCAAAGGGGAGUAAUAGGAUAGAGGAGUGAAGGAGGGGAAGAAGGAAAUGGGGUUAGAAGUAGUUAGUGUGUUAGAGGUGUUAAGAGAGUAAGUGCUCUUUGAAGAGCUCUGUCUUCAGGAGUUUAUUAAAGAUAGUGAGAGAUUCUCCUGAUCUGGUAGUGGAAGGUAGUUUGUUCCACCAUUGGGGAACUCUGUAUGAGAAAAGUCUGGA
Molecule: long non-coding RNA, 309 nt
Organism: Astyanax mexicanus (Mexican tetra)
Lineage: Eukaryota; Metazoa; Chordata; Actinopteri; Characiformes; Acestrorhamphidae
Exons: 2
Source: RefSeq, a predicted model, not a curated record